GUCUACGACCAUACCACCCUGAACGUGUCCCAUCUUGUCUGAUCUCGGAAGAUAAGCAGGGUAGGACCUGGUUAGUACUUGGAUGGGAGACUGUCUCUGAAUACCGUGUGCUGUUGUCU
Molecule: ribosomal RNA, 119 nt
Organism: Macaca nemestrina (pig-tailed macaque)
Lineage: Eukaryota; Metazoa; Chordata; Mammalia; Primates; Cercopithecidae
Source: Ensembl